RNAcentral lists this ribosomal RNA (381 nucleotides) under Amycolatopsis rifamycinica. Its description in RNAcentral is "bacterial SSU rRNA". It matches the Rfam family "Bacterial small subunit ribosomal RNA", at positions 1 to 387 of the family's 1533-position model. The record is from RNAcentral. Lineage: Bacteria; Bacillati; Actinomycetota; Actinomycetes; Pseudonocardiales; Pseudonocardiaceae.
UUGGAGAGUUUGAUCCUGGCUCAGGACGAACGCUGGCGGCGUGCUUAACACAUGCAAGUCGAACGCUGAACCACUUUCGGGUGGGGAUGAGUGGCGAACGGGUGAGUAACACGUGGGUAAUCUGCCCUGCACUCUGGGAUAAGCCUUGGAAACGAGGUCUAAUACCGGAUAUCACAAUCUCUCGCAUGGGGGGUUGUUGAAAGUUCUGGCGGUGCAGGAUGAACCCGCGGCCUAUCAGCUUGUUGGUGGGGUAAUGGCCUACCAAGGCGACGACGGGUAGCCGGCCUGAGAGGGUGACCGGCCACACUGGGACUGAGACACGGCCCAGACUCCUACGGGAGGCAGCAGUGGGGAAUAUUGCACAAUGGGCGCAAGCCUGAU